This is a non-coding RNA of Rhodnius prolixus, 103 nucleotides long. The record is from Rfam. NCBI's taxonomy places the organism in Eukaryota, Metazoa, Arthropoda, Insecta, Hemiptera, Reduviidae.
GGUGGUUGGUGGCGCCCUUCCCUGUGGUGGGUGGAGUAUUAACGCAUAGCUGUUAUCACAACAUGCAAAAUCUCUAACCCCGCUUAAUUCGGGGUUUUUUUAU